Molecule: long non-coding RNA, 9347 nt
Filed under: Nicotiana tabacum (common tobacco)
Lineage: Eukaryota; Viridiplantae; Streptophyta; Magnoliopsida; Solanales; Solanaceae
Description: long non-coding RNA (NTAB_LNC001818)
Source: RNAcentral
UUUUUUUUUUUUGCUUUACUGGUGCUAAACACAAAUUCUGAAGAAGACCCUUUUGGAUUUAGAGGCUAAAGCUCAGUUCUUUAAGCUAUUUCUUGGUAUAUUAAGAAAAAAGAUUGGAUUUUUUUGAUUUAUUGGUGUUUGGGUUGUGGUGGAUUGUUCUGAUUUUAACCUUUGUUUUGGUUGGUGAAUUUCCUUAUCCGGGGUUUUCUUGAUUGUUUUUUAUUGUGUUGGAUUCUGGUGCAAAGACUCAAUUUUUUUAACAGUUUCUACUGUUUUUUUCCUUCCUCAAACAGUCUAUCUACCAUCCCAAGAUAGGAGUAAGGUCUGCACUAUCAUCUCUAAACCCCAUUUUUGGGACUCCACCGGGUCUAUUGUUGUUGUGGCAAUUUACGAUCGGUCCAGGUAUAACUUAAUGCGAAUUAAUUAUCAAAUCCAUAUGUAUAAAUUCAACCCAUGCAUAUCAUUGAACCCGAAUUUAAAAUUAGCCUUUCACCUCGAUUCUUUUCUUCUUCCUCAUACAAUGCCCUUCCCUAUACAAUACCCUUCCAUGAACCUAACAACUUUUCUCAACAAGAAAUUUGACAACCAAGAAACACGAAUUGACAUUGCACCUUCUUAUUAGUCUCAUACCUGCUAAUAUAACAAAAUAUUAAGAAACCAGGCAGGCACUUUUUUCAAUCCUUUGUCCGUUUGUUUCUUUAUGCAACAAAACCACAAGUAUUUGCAGAGAAUUCUUUUAAAAUAUAAAAUUUAUUCUAUUGGGUUUGUAUGUCACGCCCCGAAAUUAGGAUGAGGCGUGAUGACAAUCAACCUAUCUUACUUGUCGAACAAAACUUGUUCUAACUAUCGAAAAUUCUAUAUAGAACAUCAUACCCAAGAGACUCAUAAAUAAAUCUUAAGAUAAUAGAUGUUUGAAAGCUAAAUGAUAACUUAAACACUAACAUGUCUGACAACUGAGUCCACUAACAAAGUAUCUAAAGAAUCUGGAGUCCAUUGCAUUUGGCACCCCUAAUGUCUAUCUUUUUUUUGUGAUUUGCAACCUGUCAUGUUUUGUUUUACGAUUUUAAUCCUAAGCUCUUUAUUCACUUGCAAAACAAUAAAAUCAUCAUUUAUAUAAAUUUUUCAUGAGGGCAACAUAGAAAAUACAAAUAAAAUAUCUUCUUUUUUUUUAAGUUAUUUUUUUAUGGUGGGACGUUAAUCCUAGUGAAACUCUUGCCGCCAUCAUCAUUGCAUCGUGGGAGACAUGGUUAAGCUCUCCAAGCAUAAAACGCGCUAAAGGCAGCGUCAAUUUUACCGAGAAUAAAUAGCACAUCCAGUAUAUCAUCAAUGGAUAAGAGCAAGGAGAAACGGAAAAGUCGAUUGAAGAAGGAGAAAUUGAAAGGUAAUAAGUUCAGAGUAAACAAAUUCCAUUCGUAUGCUCUUUAAUUCGUCGAUGGGUAUUGAAUUGCCAAAAGCUUAUUGUUUGCAAUGCGUAAGAUGCAAUCCAUCAUUAACAUGUUCUUGUCCCAUCCUCUAUCUGCUAUUGAUUUUCUUUUUUUAAAAAAAUAAAUCACAAAACUCUAACUCACUACAACAAUGCACCAGAAAGAAAGGUUUGCAAAUCUAUCAAAAUUUCAAACAACUCUGAAUACUAUCAUGUACAUCAAUAAAGAAAGAUCAAUUCAUUUAAGUUCUUGCUCUACUUUGGAUAAAACAGGCCUUGUGUCAAUUUAGCUUUUUUGUUGGCCGUAGUUGUUUACUUUUAUUGAAUAUUCUGAUACCAAAAGUAGUUCUUCAAUAUGUAUUUUUUUUUAUCUAAUCUAGAAAUUGAGCUAGCUAAAAUAAUUUUAAACCUUGCAUGAGCUUUUUACAUUGAAGAUUCACCAUGGAGGUGAAUUCUUAGAUGUACAUUUGGGAGGCAAGAUAGAUUUUAUUGAUAAGUGUGAUCCACAUAAAUGGUCAUUGCAAACCUUGGAAUGGAUUGGAACAACGAGAUUAAGAUACAGCAGUAAGAAAAGAGGAUAAAAAGAAAAAUCUAGCAGGAAAUGGCGAAGUUAGUGUAAAGGGGAGGAAAGAGGGGAAGGAAAAAAAGAAAGAUAAAGUGAUGGAGAAAGCCAAGAGUGCCAAUUUUGCCGGGUUACUACUGGAGGACUCAAGUACAGAAUCUGAGAAUGAUAACAUCUCUCCUAAGUAUGAUUCAGAUGACAUGUGCAGUAUUAAUAGCGAUGAUGAUGAAAAGGUUAGAAAGGUUGAAAAUGUUGCAUUUAGGGCAGAAACAGACAUGGAUAAUUUAACAUUUAGGUUGGGAAAGACAUUCAUUGAUGCAAUAGAAUUUAGAGCUGCACUGAGAGCUUAUUCUAUUAAAAAUAACAAGAAAAUUUCCUUCAAAAAGAAUGAAUCUGAUAAAAUUUCUGCAAAAUGUUGUGAUCAAUGUCCACGGCGCAUAUAUGCAUCUAAAAAGGCACCAGAUGACCCCACAAUCACGAUAAAAACUUUAGUUGGGAAACAUUCUGAUGAUUGUUUGUUUGUUUAUGUCAACAAAAAUGUGAAAUCUCGAAUGAUUGCCAAAUAUUUCCUGCAUUAUUUGAGAAUACAUCCAGAUGUAUCAGUAGGAGAUUUCAUGGACAAAAUACAUGAAGAGAUGAAUGUUGAAGUUUCAGUGAGCAAAGUGUAUAGAUGUGAUGACCCAAAAGGUCAUCUUAUGUUUUAAAACUCGAAUCUGCGCUCUUAAGCCUUAAAAAUCUCAUUUUUUUUCCCUCCUCGAUUUGUGUGCACAGUUCGGACAGGUUUCCGAAAAGCUUUUAUGUUGAAAAUUGAUGAAAAUAAGAAUUUAUGCCUUAAAAGUUAAUUUUAGUUUACUUCGGUCAAUAUUUUUAGUAAACGGGCCCGGAUCCGUAUUUUGAUGAUCCCGGUGGGUCCGUAUCAAAUUAUGGGACCUGGACGUAUGCCCGGAAUCGAAUUUGGAGGUCCCUAUCUCAAGUUAUGAAUUUUUGAUGAAAAUUAAAAAUCUGAAAAAUUAAUUAUUUUUAAGAAUUGAUUGAUGUUGGGCAUUGUUAGUGCCGGGUCCGUAUUCUGGUUCCGGAGCCCGGUACAGGUUUAUUAUGAUAUUUAAGACUUGUCUGUGAAAUUUGGUGAGAAACGGAGUUGAUUUGACGUGAUUCGAACGUCCAGUUGAGAAAAUAGAAAUUUUAAAGUGUUCUUGAAAAUUUCAUUUGAUUUGGUGCUAAAUUCGUAGUUCUAGGUGUUAUUUUGGCGAUUUGAUCGCGCGAGCAAGUUCGUAUGAUAUUUUUAGACUUGUGGACAUGUUUGGUUUGGAGCACCGAGAGCUCGGGGUGAGUUUCGGAUAGGCCACGGGAUAUUUUGGACUUUGGAAAUCUGGUAUUUUGCUGCAGCAAGUGUUCUGGCAUGUCCUUCUUCGCGUUCACGAAGGUACUCUCGCGAACGCGAAGAGUAAACUGGGCAGCUGAAGGUUUCUUCUUCGCGAACGCGAAGCGAUGAGGGCGUUACCCUUCGCGAACGCGACAAGCCCAUCGCGAACGCGUAGUGUUAGGCAUUGGGGAUGGGGAGUCAGCCGUUCCUUCAUCGCGAACGCGAAGGCCAGGGGGGAGUAACCAUCGCGAACACGAGCUGGGUCUCGCGAACGCGUAGACUUGGCAGCCAGUACCCUUCGCGAACGCGAUGAAUACUGUCGCCCAGCACUUAACAGAAUCCAAAAACGGAAUUUUAGCCAAAAACUCAUUUUUCUCAAAAAACAAGCGGUGAGAGGCAGUUUUUCAAGAGCUAUUUCUUCCCUAAAUUGUUGAUAAGUGAUUCUAAACCAUUUUCUUUCAAUUACCCAUUACAUUUUNNNNNNNNNNNNNNNNNNNNNNNNNGAGGUCGGAUUCCAAAACCAAUUAUAUAUUCGGGAUCGGGGAUGAAUGGGUAAGUAGAUUUUGGUCCGAACCUCGGGUUUUGAUCAAGCGGGUCCGGGGUCGAUUUUUCGACUUUUUGGAGAAAAAUUUAGGAAAUUUAAUUUAUGCAAUAUAAUUGACUCCUUUAGCAAUAUUUGAUAUUAUUGAGUUAUUUUUGAAUAGAUACGAGUGGUUUGGAGAUGAAUUCUAAAGGAAAAGCUGUGAUUGAGAAUUAAGUGGCCUUCAGAGCGAUGUAAGUGUUGUUUCUAACCCUGACUUGAGGGAAUUAGGAACCUUAGAUUACUUGCUAAGUGAAAUCCAUGUGAGCAACGUAUAUGUGAGGUGACAAGUACUUAUGUGCCGCCAAUUUACCUGUUUUCCAUGUUUCUCUGUUUUCCUUAUAUUGUCUCUUUCCUAUGCCAAAUUGCUAUGUGUUAUAUUAGUGUUGUUCAAUUUAUCGUUCUUAUCAUGUUUACGAAUUUUCUGGUGAUAAUUGAGUGUUUAUUUCAAAGUUGAGAUUGAUAUUAUGGAACCAAAUGUUGAAGUAAUGUUUGUACUUAUUAAUCUAUCUCUCUGUUGUUAUUUAUGCAUUGCAUUAUGGUAAGGGAGAGUGUUAAUACACGAAGGGUGAUGCCAUGCCAUAUUGUGAGUGUUAAUGCACGAAGGGUGAUGUCGUGCUAUGAUAUGAAAGUUAAUGCACGAAGGGUGAUGCCGUGCCGUUUCUAUUAAUUUUAGGUGAGAUUGAGAGUAAAAGCACAAAGGGUGAUGCCGUAUAUUUUUCAUGGUAUAUUGACUGCUCCGAUGAUCAUUCUAUUGUAGUUCUUUAUCUUGUAUUCCCCUACGUAUGUUCCCCUCCCGACAUUUUCUGUUUAGUUCUUCAUCUCUGUUAUUUAUAUAUACACUAUUAAAUUGUACAGGUUGAUUUGUAGGUGCCUUGCCUUAGCCUCGUCACUACUUCGUCGAGGUUAGGAUCGACACUUACCAGUAUAUGGGAUCGGUUGUACUGAUACUACACUCUGCACUUUCUGUGCAGAUUUUGAUAUCGGCUCGGGUUGAUCGAGAUUUUGCUAUUGGUCCGCUGUCCGGAGACUCAAUGUAGAUCUGUCGGUGUUCACAGACCUUGAAGUCCCCGUCUAUCUUUUCUGUUCUACUGUUUCUUUCAUUCAGACAUUUGUAUUUCUUUCUGACUAUUAGUUGUAGCAAAUUCUAGAAUGCUCGUGAAUUGUGACUCAAGAUCCGGGGUAGUAAUUAAUACAGUUUUAUAAUAUUCCGUACUUAUUAUAUUUCAUCUUAGUUAAUUAUUGUUAUUUACUGAAUGGAAAUAAGGAAUUGGUCUAACGAUUUUCUAACGUUGGCUUGCCUAACAAGUGAAAUGUCAGGCGCCAUCAUGGUCCCGUCGGUGAGAAAUUUCGGAUCGUGACAAUAGAACAAAGACAAUAGCAAAGGAAAUGAUAGAAGGUCUCUACAAAGAACAAUAUGCAAAAUUAGAGGACUAUUGUGCAGAACUCAAGAGAAAGAAUCCAGGAUCAAUUGUAUUGUUAGAAACAACACCUCAUGAAGAGGAUGGCAGACCUGUUUUUGAAAAAAUGUACAUAUGUCUUGAGCCCUGCAGAAGAGGUUGGAUGGAAGGUUGUAGGCCACUCAUUAGGAUAGACGGUUUCUUUCUUUAAGGACCAUAUGGAGGUCAACUUUUGACAGUAAUUGGGAUAGAUGCUGAUAAUGGUAUAUUUCCUAUAGCCUACGCUGUAGUUGAUAUUGAAAAUAAGCAUAACUAGAAGUGAUUUUUAAAUUUGUUGGUGGAUGACUUGCAAAUUAGAAAUCAUGAUAACUUAUGUCUCAUUACAGACAAACAAAAGGUAAGAUUUUUUAUCCACAUAUAAUACCAAAUUCUAAUUGCUUUCAAUUAUCAAAAUUAGCCAUGUUUAUUAUUCUACUCACUUUUGUAGGGUUUGGAGGGAGCUAUUUAUGAGACAGUUCUCCAAGUUGAACAUAGGCUUUGUGUAAGACAUUUGUAUAAUAAUUUCAAGAAAGAGCACAAAGGUUUAUCGUUGAAGAUAAGAGUUUGGAAAGCUGCAAGGGCAACUCAUGUAAGUAAGUAUAGAUAUGAGAUGGAUAUGCUGGAAAAGGAGGACAAAGAAGUUAGAAAUUAGUUCAACGAUAGACCACCCAAAUUCUGGAGCAAGUCACAUUUUAGAACAACAACAAAGUGUGAUAUGCUUUUGAAUAAUCUUUGUGAGGCAUCAAUGGGACAAAACCCAUUUUGAGGGCAAGGGAGAAACCUAUACUUGGACUACUUGAAGGAAUUAGAAUAUACUUGAUGAAGAAACUGAACCAAAAGAGGGAAGACCUGCUCAAAUACCAAGGUAAUAUUGUUAUUGUAACUUCUCUGAAGCACAAAAUAUUUAACAUGAUCCUGACAAUAUUUUACUAUAACAGGAAAUUUAUGCCCUCGAAUCCGAAAACUAGUAAAAAAAGUGAAGGAAGACUCGGCUACAUCAAUUCCUACUUGGGCUGAAAAAUUUUCAUUUCAAGUAAAGACCAUGUAUGGUGAACAAUUUAGUGUUGACUUGAGUGGAAGAAUCUAUUCAUGUAGGGGAUGGGACCUUACAGGAAUCUCAUGCUCACAUGCAAUGAGCUGCAUAUUCCAUAUAAGAGAGAAUCCAAAAAAUUUCAUACAUGAUUGUUACAAGAAGACUGCUCAAAUGAGGAUUUAUGAGCCAGUCAUUGCUCCAAUGGAUGGACCUGAUAUGUGGGAACCUACUGAUCUACUUGAUGUUAACCCUCCUAACUAUGAGCCGAAGACAAGUAAGUUGAACAAAAAUAGAAGAAAAGAGCCCGAUGAAAUUGAAGCCUCCGAGAGAAAAGUAGUUGAGAUGAAAAAACAGAGAAGAGAGAAAAAGAAAAAAUAAUCUACAACAAGUGAAAUGCAUGAUGUUACCAAAUUGAGUAAGAAAGGGAAGUUAGGGAGGUGUAGCAAGUUCUUGCAAACUGGUCACAACAAAAUAACUUGCAACAAGAGUAGCGAUUCCUCGAAUUCAACAACUCUACCUCAAGCUACUCAAACAACUCAAGAUUGGUGCCAAAAUGCUACAAGUCAAUCCCCACCCAAGUAAGCAAAUCAAUUUUGAGUCCACUUAUUGGACUGGACAUAUAAAUGAACCUUCCAAACUCAAUGUAAGUAUGGAACCUUGAAUAUAGGUGAUUUAGUACUUUGAGAGACAGUUAAUAUAUUUGUGUUCUUUAUUUAUUUUCACAGCUAAGAAGGCCAAUGGAGGAUGAUUCAUCUCAUAGACCUGCGCGAGCUCAAGUUGGUGGCAUUGUGUUAAAUGCUGAGAAGUAUAUGUAGAAUGGAAAAAAUUGUAUUAGCUUACAAACCCUUCAAAAUACAAGUGCUAUAGAGAAGUCCAAGAAAAAGAGCUUUGAUGUGGAAGAAAAUAGAAGCAAUUAGCAUAUGAAAUUAUCAGCAAGAACAAAUUUUAAUUUCAUCAAGACUUCUUUUGUUGUUUAAUGGAUAUUUCCCUAUCAUUUAUUCCUAAGAGAUUUUCAAUGUCAAGUUUGUCAUUUACCUUUACAAUUUAAUUUUAGUAUUUUUACUCUUCGAAGCCUUUUAUUUGUAUAUCCUAUUUUGCCCUCAUAAAAAAUUUAUAUAAAUGGUGGUUUUAUUAUUUUGCAAGAGAAUAAAGAGGUUAGGGUUGAAAUCGUAUAAAAAAAUAAGACAGGGUGCAAAUCACAAAAAAGGAUACACAUUAGAGGUGCAAAAUGCGACGGACUCAAAGAAUCUGAGUAUAUAAGUCUUCCGAGGCAUUCCCCUAAAAUAGUAUAAAUAAAGGCGUCUAUAAAUAAAUAAAUAAAUAAAGUCUAGAGAAAGAUUUGUUGUUACCGCUGAGAUGAAUCAACAGAGCCUGCACUCUAAGUCACGAAAAUAUGUCUCUAAUCACGGAUUUUCACCUACAAACGCAACACCUACCGCACGACGUGGUAGGCCCAAACGGGCUAAGUACCACCAAAGGAUAGCUAGAAGUCUCAUUGACUGCCCCCAAAGGUGGAGGGCAAGACUAGCGUGGGCCACAUAAAUAUAAAAAAAAUACAGCAAGUAGAGCAGACAAUUCAUAUAAAAAUAAUUGAAUAAUCUAAAAAGCUAAAACUUGUUUUGAUAACUGAAUUCAGAUUAGUAAAUGAAAGUCGAAGCUAUAAACUAAUUUUGUAUCUAAUAAAUGAAACUAAAACUUAAAACUGAGUCUAAAACUGAUAUCUGAAACUGAAGUUGAAAACUGUGUUACUUUUAAAAAAAUAGUUUUUCUGAAAAUAUUGCACAUAAUGGCGCUAUGUAUAUGAGGAUCUGGGCACCGUAUGGGGACUGUUAAAGCUACUUUGGAGCCUCCGGUCAUGCUUACUGAAACUCAAUCUGUAUGUGGGGCCAUCGAGUGACUCAAUCAAGCUUAACACGUCUGAACGUGCUAGCAUCUACAAGCAUGUGGUAGCUAGCCCUGGCCACCGUGACACUCAUGCUCGUGGAGGGUAUCUACUUUUCUCUUUUUGAAUCUGAAUCUGAAUUUGAAUAUUUUAGGCCCUCGUGGAUAAAGUCUCCACUAUACUAACUCAUACACACUAAGCCCUCGUGGAUAAAGUGAGACUAUAUUAUUUUUUUUCUUCUGAAUCUGAACUGAAAGUUUGAGCAGUACAAGCAAUUUCACGUAAACAAUCAAUCAGAGAACAUCAAGAACCUAUUCAUUUUCUGUUCUAAAUAUGAACUGUAGGUCUGAGCAAUAUAAGUAGCUUCACAUAAUAACAAUUCCACAUAAUCAAAUAAUUACAACAAGGCAUACUAUUUAAGAUUUCUCGUAUUAGAGGUUUUCAUUGUAUAUAUAUAGUAAGGCAAGCAAGCAAGCAAUAUACUAUUCACAUUUUAAUAUAGCCCUUUACUUAGGGAAGAAAGUUCAAAUCACCUCUAAUGGGGUGCUCAAGUUUUUCCUUCCAAGAACUCACGAAUUCGGCUCCUCAAAAUCUACAGUUAAGCAGUUACAAUCAUUAUUUUGUCCUACUAACUCAACACCCAUAAUUCACUCGAGGCUUUAUUGGCCAGCAAUAACUUUUCAUAACUUUCUACCCAUAACUCUUAUAAAUUUCAUAAUCUGUAGUCAUAGUCUGUCAUAAAAUUACUAACUUUAAUACUAAUAGGUAACGAAACGUAUCUUGAAUGAUGCCUCCACAAACCCUGGGUCUUGACGAACGCUUGAUUUUUUGGGUGAAAACCUAGAUUUUAGGAAUUAGAAGGUGUUAAACGAUGUUAAUCUAAAUUUUUUAACUUGAAUCCAUGGUAGAAAUCUUACCUUGGGUGGAUUGGUGAAUCCCUAAUCAAGUCGUUCUUGCUCUCAAAAUCUCUCCAAAAUACAGUAGAAAUAAGUGAACUUCUCUCAUUUUGAAGUGCCUCAACCUGACACGUUAUGCCACACGUCGCAUGGCACCUCGAAAUUUUUU